ACAUCCUAGCGACUGCCUCUGAAGGGACUUCCACAGUUGCUGCAGGGAGGAGGGCAUAUCCUGGAGCAUGAGACUGGCUAUGGGGCUCUGUCUUAGCCUGGUUUCUUUCUGUACAAUGAUAUACCACAUAGAAAACUAGUAGGCUCACUGGUGCACACCCCUACUUCCAGCCAUUCAGGAGGCUGAGGCUGAGGCUGAGGAAGUGCUUGGGUCCAGGAGGUCUGGACUAUAGGAUGCUAUGCUGUGAGACAUCUCAUCUUGCCUAGGGAAGGAGCAAACCAGCAGUUUGGCUUCCUACCUCUGUCUUCGCGGCUUCCAGCUCUUUAGGAUGUGUGAAGACUCAGACACCAUCAGCACUGAAGUAGACAUCGGUAGAUCCCCGUGCCUAGCUCAGCUUCAGGACAAGGCGAGAGAUGCGAUGUUUCCCUUGCCAUUGGAAAAGACAAUUCCAAAUUAGUCUCCUUGUCAAGCCCUUUACUCACUGACCUCUCCUCACAACAACAACAACAACAACAACAAAGGCAUUCAAUCAGAGAGCUGGGCUUCCAACCAAGCCUGUGAAGAAUCUUCCCCUUGCUUCCCCCUUUGCGUCUCUCAGAAACCUUUGGGCCACCACAGGAAGGACAUAAAAUGACUUCAUCUCACCAUUUCCAAAUGCCUCUCCUGAGUUAUGGCUUUGUCAGUACAAUCAUUUGUCCCCAAA
This 703-nucleotide long non-coding RNA is filed under the name Mus musculus (house mouse). RNAcentral's name for it is "predicted gene, 33115". Lineage: Eukaryota; Metazoa; Chordata; Mammalia; Rodentia; Muridae. The record is from RNAcentral.